Molecule: ribosomal RNA, 439 nt
Filed under: uncultured bacterium
Lineage: Bacteria
Description: partial 16S ribosomal RNA
Rfam family: Bacterial small subunit ribosomal RNA
Source: RNAcentral
CUACGGGGGGCACCAGUGGGGAAUAUUGCACAAUGGAGGAAACUCUGAUGCAGCAACGCCGCGUGGAGGAUGACACUUUUCGGAGCGUAAACUCCUUUUAUAUAGGAAGAAGAUGACGGUACUAUAUGAAUAAGCGCCGGCUAACUCCGUGCCAGCAGCCGCGGUAAUACGGAGGGCGCAGGCGUUACUCGGAGUCACUGGGCGUAAAGGGCGUGUAGGCGGAUUAAAAAGUCAGAAGUGAAAUCCUAUAGCUUAACUAUAGAACUGCUUCUGAAACUCUUAAUCUAGAAUAUGGGAGAGGUAGAUGGAAUUUCUGGUGUAGGGGUAAGAUCCGUAGAGAUCAGAAGGAAUACCGAUUGCGAAGGCGAUCUACUAGAACAUUAUUGACGCUGAGACGCGAAAGCGUGGGGAGCAAACAGGAUUAGAUACCCGGGUAGUC